RNAcentral lists this small RNA (22 nucleotides) under Arabidopsis thaliana (thale cress). RNAcentral's name for it is "Ath_wt_19540". The record is from RNAcentral. Lineage: Eukaryota; Viridiplantae; Streptophyta; Magnoliopsida; Brassicales; Brassicaceae.
GCAUCAGCGUGCUCCGGGCGUC